RNAcentral lists this ribosomal RNA (870 nucleotides) under uncultured archaeon. RNAcentral's name for it is "bacterial SSU rRNA". It matches the Rfam family "Archaeal small subunit ribosomal RNA", at positions 4 to 882 of the family's 1478-position model. The record is from RNAcentral.
CUGGUUGAUCCUGCCAGAGGUCACUGCUAUCGGGGUUCGAUUAAGCCAUGCGAGUCGAGAGGGUUCAGACCCUCGGCGGACUGCUCAGUAACACGUGGAUAACCUGCCCUAAGGCGGAGGAUAACCCCGGGAAACUGGGGAUAAUACUCCAUAGGUUAGAGAAACUGGAAUGUUCUUUAACUGAAAGUUGAGGCGCCUUAGGAUGGAUCUGCGGCCGAUUAGGUAGUUGUUGGGGUAACGGCCCAACAAGCCCAUCAUCGGUACGGGUUGUGGGAGCAAGAGCCCGGAGAUGGAAUCUGAGACACGAUUCCAGGCCCUACGGGGCGCAGCAGGCGCGAAAACUUUACAAUGCAGGAAACUGUGAUAAGGGAACCCCGAGUGCCCGUAUACGCGGGCUGUCCGGGUGUAUAAACAGCAUCUGAAGAAAGGGCCGGGCAAGACCGGUGCCAGCCGCCGCGGUAAUACCGGCGGCUCGAGUGGUGACCACUUUUAUUGGGCUUAAAGCGUUCGUAGCUGGACUCUUAAGUCUCUUGGGAAAUCUCGCGGCUUAACCGUGAGGCGUUUAAGAGAUACUGGGAGUCUAAGAACCGGGAGAGGUAAGAGGUACUUCGGGGGUAGAAGUGAAAUUCUGUAAUCCUCGAGGGACCACCGAUGGCGAAGGCAUCUUACCAGAACGGCUUCGACAGUGAGGAGCGAAAGCUGGGGGAGCGAACGGGAUUAGAUACCCGGUAGUCCCAGCCGUAAACGAUGCGCGUUAGGUGUACUGGUGACCACGAGUCACUGGGGUGCCGAAGGGAAACCGUGAAACGUGCCGCCUGGGAAGUACGGUCGCAAGGCUGAAACUUAAAGGAAUUGGCGGGGGAGCACCAC